UUGAGAUCACCAUGGACUCCUCUCGCUCUUCCUCUUUCUCUUCCUCUUCUCAUGGAUCGCUGAACGACGCCGGCCCCGAAGCAGGCAACAGCAGCGCCGCGUUGGGAAGGCUGUAUUAUGACGGCUUCGACGACGAACCGCGUCACUUCUUGGACUGCUGCUCCCUGUGCAGGAAUCCCCUCGCGAGCAACCGCAACAUAUUCAUGUACAGAGGGGACACGCCGUUCUGCAGCGAGGAGUGCCGGCAGGAGCAGAUCGAGAUCGACGAGGCCGGGGAGAACAGCCGGAAGCUCUCCGUGAAGGUGUCCAGGUCGAGGAAGGAGCGGCGGAAGAGUGGCGAGUCCCAGAAGAUUCACGUCUGGGCCGACACUGCCGUGGCUAGGUAAACUACGGCACACUCGAUAUAAAGCUGUGGGUAGUGUACAAGGUUGAAACCCGAGAGGAGUGGCAAAGAGGAAGAAGCUCUUUUGCUUGCAUAGGGCGACGAGUGUUGUAACCUUUGCCUGGGUUGAGACUUGUUCUUCAUCGCUUUUCUUACUGUUUGUUGUUCUUGAUGAAGUGGUAAUCGAGGCUUUGAUCCCUCUCUAA
This is a long non-coding RNA of Musa acuminata AAA Group (dessert banana), 588 nucleotides long. RefSeq lists it as uncharacterized. The transcript is spliced from 2 exons. The record is from RefSeq and is a predicted model, not a curated record. NCBI's taxonomy places the organism in Eukaryota, Viridiplantae, Streptophyta, Magnoliopsida, Zingiberales, Musaceae.